This 616-nucleotide ribosomal RNA is filed under the name uncultured bacterium. RNAcentral's name for it is "bacterial SSU rRNA". It matches the Rfam family "Bacterial small subunit ribosomal RNA", at positions 67 to 716 of the family's 1533-position model. The record is from RNAcentral.
CGGGGUCGGAACUUCGGUUUCGGCUUACGUGGCGCACGGGUGAGUAACACGUGGGAAUCUGCCCAUCUAUGGGGAAUAACUGCGGGAAACUGCAGCUAAUACCGCAUACGCCCUUCGGGGGAAAGGCUUCGGCCGUAGAUGGAUGAGCCCGCGUCCGAUUAGCUAGUUGGUGGGGUAAUGGCCUACCAAGGCGACGAUCGGUAGCUGGUCUGAGAGGAUGAUCAGCCACACUGGGACUGAGACACGGCCCAGACUCCUACGGGAGGCAGCAGUGGGGAAUAUUGGACAAUGGGCGAAAGCCUGAUCCAGCAAUGCCGCGUGAGUGAUGAAGGUCUUCGGAUUGUAAAGCUCUUUCGACGGGGAAGAUAAUGACGGUACCCGUAGAAGAAGCCCCGGCUAACUUCGUGCCAGCAGCCGCGGUAAUACGAAGGGGGCUAGCGUUGUUCGGAUUUACUGGGCGUAAAGCGUGCGUAGGCGGCUUAUCAAGUCAGAAGUGAAAGCCCGGGGCUCAACUCCGGAAUGGCUUUUGAGACUGGUAGGCUGGAGUUCGGGAGAGGGUAGUGGAAUUCCCAGUGUAGAGGUGAAAUUCGUAGAUAUUGGGAAGAACACCGGUGGC